UAGGGAAUAUUAGUAAUGGGCGAAAGCCUGAACUAGCAACGCCGCGUGUGCGAAGAAGGCCUUCGGGUUGUAAAGCACUUUUUGAGAGGAUGAGGAAGGACGGUACUCUCAGAAUAAGUCUCGGCUAACUACGUGCCAGCAGCCGCGGUAACACGUAGGAGGCGAACGUUAUCCGGAUUUACUGGGCGUAAAGCGCGUGUAGGUGGUUUAGUAAGUAGGGCGUGAAAGCUCCUGGCUCAACUGGGAGAGGCCGUUCUAAACUGCCGUACUAGAGGAUGGCAGAGGGAGGUGGAAUUCCGGGUGUAGCGGUGGAAUGCGCAGAUAUCCGGAGGAACACCAGUGGCGAAAGCGGCCUCCCGGACCACUCCUGACACUCAGACGCGAAAGCUAGGGUAGUAAACGG
Molecule: ribosomal RNA, 403 nt
Filed under: uncultured bacterium
Lineage: Bacteria
Description: bacterial SSU rRNA
Rfam family: Bacterial small subunit ribosomal RNA
Source: RNAcentral